This 61-nucleotide transfer RNA is filed under the name Aristena rechingeri. Its description in RNAcentral is "tRNA-Leu". The record is from RNAcentral. Lineage: Eukaryota; Metazoa; Mollusca; Gastropoda; Stylommatophora; Helicidae.
AGUAAUUUGGCAGACCAAUGCGCAUGGUUUAGGUGCAUGUUAUAACAAAUGUUAGUUACUA